Rattus norvegicus (Norway rat) is the source of this 664-nucleotide non-coding RNA. Lineage: Eukaryota; Metazoa; Chordata; Mammalia; Rodentia; Muridae. The record is from RefSeq and is a predicted model, not a curated record.
CCGGGGAGACUUGUUGUAAAACUGACUGGCUGGUCACCAUGGCACUGUUACCAUGGUGACUGAUUGUCGAAGAGGAAGUGACCUCAUUGUUUCCCGGUUGGCUGUAGCGUACUCCUGCAAAACAUGAACCCAAUAUGGAAAUUAGUGUCACCAGGGCCCCUGGACAAUGACUCAGUGUCUCCUGUUUUCAGUGGUUGAAGGAGGAAGACCACAGCCGCUUUGAUCAAGGAACAAGCAGAAAGAGAAAGUAUGGUCAGUUCUGUAUUGAAGGUGUGAAUUGCUCCGGGCCUGUUACCAGGGGAUCGCUGGGAAGUCACACAGAUUUCACAGUUGAGAAGCACUGGAUGAAUUCAGAAAUUUGCACAAAGCCGAAUAGGACCACACAGAAUAUAAUAAACGGCCCUGUGCAUGCACGCACGCCGCCUGAAUAUCAGCCAGCCGCCUCGAUCCCUCAAGGGCUAUAAGCCACAUCUGUGCUCAUCAGGAAUCAUAAUUCCUUCUGGCUGCAGACAAUCCUUUGUCCUGCAUGUCUCAAUAGUGACCUGUGACCUCCUGACACCUACAUCCUUAGGCAAACUUCAGGACCCUUUCAGGCCCAACUGCCAUGAUUGUUAUUGGACAGCAUUUAUGCUUUGAGCCACCCAACAACUGCAGACUCUGCUCA